RNAcentral lists this ribosomal RNA (247 nucleotides) under uncultured bacterium. Its description in RNAcentral is "partial 16S ribosomal RNA". It matches the Rfam family "Bacterial small subunit ribosomal RNA", at positions 523 to 769 of the family's 1533-position model. The record is from RNAcentral.
AUACGGAGGGUGCGAGCGUUGUUCGGAAUUAUUGGGCGUAAAGCGCGUGUAGGCGGUCUUUUAAGUCUGAUGUGAAAGCCCUGGGCUCAACCCAGGAAGUGCAUUGGAAACUGGGAGACUUGAAUACGGGAGAGGGUAGUGGAAUUCCUAGUGUAGGAGUGAAAUCCGUAGAUAUUAGGAGGAACACCGGUGGCGAAGGCGCCCUUCUGGACGGCAACUGACGCUGAGACGCGAAAGCGUGGGGAGC